RNAcentral lists this ribosomal RNA (180 nucleotides) under Ptychodera flava. RNAcentral describes it as "5.8S rRNA". The stretch from base 4 to 159 matches the Rfam family "5.8S ribosomal RNA". Rfam says of the family: 5.8S ribosomal RNA (5.8S rRNA) is a component of the large subunit of the eukaryotic ribosome. The record is from RNAcentral. Lineage: Eukaryota; Metazoa; Hemichordata; Enteropneusta; Ptychoderidae.
GACAAUUCUGAGCGGUGGAUCACUCGGCUCGUGCGUCGAUGAAGAACGCAGCCAGCUGCGUGAAGUAAUGUGAAUUGCAGGACACAUUGAUCAUCGACACUUCGAACGCACAUGGCGGCCCCGGGUGCCUUUCCCGGGGCCACGCCUGACUGAGGGUCGUUUUCCAGUGUGCAUCGAUCG